AAAGAAUGGAGAUACUCACUGGUCAUCCUCUUGCUGUUGAUAUAUUUGUAAAAGAGCUUCUUGUUCCUUUUUAUCCCAGCAGUCAGGUUGAGUUCAAGCUGGGCCUUUGCCUUUCUGAUUUUCUCCCUGCACAUCUGAACAACUUCUUUGUAUUCUUUCUGAGUUGCCCAUCCCUUCUUCCACAGGAGGUAGAUUCUCUUUUUCACCUGGACCCUCAGGAAUAGCUCCCUAUUCAUCCACGACAGUCUUCUUCUGCGCCAGCUCAUUUUAUGGCUCAGGGGCACAUCCUGCUCCUGUGCCUUCAAGACUUCCUUCUUGAAGAGCGACCAGCCAUCUUGGACCCCUUUACUCUCCGAGACUGAAUCCCAGGGGACUCCCCCUACUGGUCUUCUGAACAAUUCAAAGUGUGCCCUCCGGAAGUCCACAGUAGCAGUUUUGCUGUUUCCCCCUCCUGAUUCCAAGGACUCUACUCAUGUAGCCCAACUCCCCUUCAGUGAACAGGGACAACUGCAGGAACAUCAAAUUGCUCAGAGCCAGGUCCAGCCUGGCCUUGAGUGUCUCCAAGGACGGGGCAUCCACCGCUUCUCUGGGCAACGGGAGGACAUUCUGAAAUCCAGACAAAACUAUACAGAAAUGUGCUGCUUCAAUUUCCCAGAUUUCAUCAGCAUUCAAAUAAAUCCUGAUUUCUUUCUCGCUGACCAGAAGAUCCUUUUCUUUGUAAGGCCAGCUAGCUUCUUACUGCAAACAUUUCUUACGCUUUCAGGAACUUGGCAGGAACAAAUGAGUGUGUAACUCACGUCAAAGGAAAAAAAUCCCACUCACACAUGUAUGCAGCAAAUAUUCCAAUAAGUUUGUCUUUAGUACCAGGAGCCAUCUCUUUUACAGGAUUUGUUCUAUGAUAUCACUGCACUUUCAAUUUUUAUAUUACCAUUUCUCUGUAGUAUGUCACCAGCACAGUGCCUAGAUAAGCUCUUGCUUGGUUUAGACUGCAGUCAAGAGUGCUCAUUGAAGCUGACAACAGAAGAAAAUAAAAAAUCAACGGUAACUUCCUAACAUCAAACAAGAAAUGUCAUUAUUUUCAAAGUUGCAUUUGGUGUUGCAUCAAGUGUUUGUACUAAUAGCAUGAACCACAAAUAAAUGAAUUCCAGAGGGAAUCUGCUUUGAGGCUUGUAAUUCCCUACAACUUGCCCCAUACAGUAUUCUUACAAAUGUUCUUUAGUUUUCACAUGACCUUUAAUACUGCUGUGCUGGCCUCCCAGGAUCAAGUUUUUUAAAAAAACAGGUGCCUGAAGCUUGAUUUUUACAUCAAUAUCCAUGCCCCUGGAUUGACGGCUUGAUUUUAAAAAAGCCUCGAGCAUCAGGCAGUUCCCAUUGAUUUCAUCAUGGAGUUGGAUGUCGCAAAUCAGUAUUGUCAGGUUCCCAGAUAUGUUGCUGAGUCGGGGCCCUAGUGGCCCUGGGAUUGUUGUAUCAUGGUGACCAAUUAUUUUCACUUGUCACUGCACAGUAUAUGUGAGGUUUUGUUGCAAUUGUACAUUACUAUGUGGUCUAAUCUUGUGAUUUCAGUUUGUUAUGGUUUUAUGAUUUUUGUUAUCAGUAUUCCACAUCAUAACAUCAUGUCUUGCACUGGGAGUUAAGGAGUUAAUGCUGCAGGUCUGUGGAUAGUUGACAGUUCUGGGUUUGCCUGUCUCAGCAGAAUAAUAUUGUAAGUUAAACUUUAUCUUGUUUUAUUAAACUUUGAAAGCAUUUUGAGUUCGACGUAAGAAAUCAUAACUUUCUUUUUAAAUCUCCAUUGAACUCUCUUUUACACUAGCAGUUUAUACCAUUAUACUACAUAAAUAACUUAUUAAAGUUCCAGUUUAAGUUAGUAGCUAUUCCAAAAGAAAAUUCUUUAGCUGCAUUUGGGCAAAGUAGCAGAAAGGUAAAAGCAAUUGAACAUUAAAAGUUACAGUCUCUUUAUGUCAUAUGUUUUGACUUCAUCACACAAAUCACCAUGCUUAUCAUUCUCUGCAUUUCUUUGCUAAUGGAAUGGACUCCAUCAGCCUUUUUUCUGCAUUACUAUUUAAACUAUUUGAAUUUUUUUCUGCAUUACUAUUUGAGCUGGUAUUUGAACAAUUUGAACUGCAUUACAGCUGUGUAAUGAUCUCUAGUUCUUGCGAUAGCUAUGAGAGUAAUGAAAUCCAUUAGCAAUCUGUAUAAAAUCUAGACGUUCAAGAUAAGAUUGAAGUCCUGAAAAUGAUGAAAGUUCAGUCUCUUGAUUUGCAGCAGCUUCCACUUUUCACAACCAAAAGUCUCAGAAACUUACACACAAGUAAGUUAUCACAGUAACUUACAUAAGUUUACUUUUUACCUCUAAUUUAUUUAGUUGUCUGAACUAUAGUUGUAUGACUUCCAUUCUCUUCAACAGAUGAUUCCUCAGUAGAUUCUGUUCAGCACUGAAUAAUACACUGGCAAAGGUUAUCAGCUUUAGUAUACUGGAAAGAAAAUCCAGAUGAGCACAGAUUCUUGUUCCAGGCUUGUUUCUUCCAUUGAAUUUAGUAUAAGUUUUCCAGUUAAUUUCAACAGAUGGAAAAGCACAUCCUGACAAUUUAUGACAGCCUUUAAACAAAGAAAAGUCUUAGAAAUAGAUGUCAUCUACGCCUAAGAAAACUGGGAGCAUUACAGAAAGUGCUACCAUGCUGUCAGUGUUUUGUGUCUGAGUACGUCUCUGCCCAAGGUUUUUGUUUGUUCUGCUUUUUUGUACCUUUUAUUGUUUUAGAGGAGAAGCUAACAAAAGGUUCAGUUCUCUAGCUAAAGUCUAUUGUUAAUCUGUGUAAUGAAUCCAUUUGGUUUCUAUGGAAGUUUUAAGUCACGAAAAAUAAUGACAUUUCUGUUCCCUCUAAUAAAAGGCUUUAUCUAUAU
Gallus gallus (chicken) is the source of this 2898-nucleotide long non-coding RNA. The record is from Ensembl. Lineage: Eukaryota; Metazoa; Chordata; Aves; Galliformes; Phasianidae.